Molecule: long non-coding RNA, 2058 nt
Organism: Ictalurus punctatus (channel catfish)
Lineage: Eukaryota; Metazoa; Chordata; Actinopteri; Siluriformes; Ictaluridae
Exons: 4
Source: RefSeq, a predicted model, not a curated record
GUCUUUAACACGACUGAGGUCUUUUCUAACGGUAGCUUUAAAAACAGUCUGUUGUAGACAGCUUCAGAAAUCACAGACAAAGCUGAGCCUGUAUCCAGCUCCAUUUUCAGUUUUACACCAGACACAUUUGUUGUUAUCCAUAUUAUUUUCCUGUCUAUUUCAGUCAUGCUAUGCAGUUCUAGGCAUGACAGAUCAUCUUCGUCAGAGCCUGUGUUCUCUGAUUUGUUUUCACAUUCAGACACUUUGUGCACUUGUUUAGUUUUGUAUUUGAAACCUUUGUAUUUGAAAGGUUUUCCAUGUUGGUUGUGCUUUUUGUCUGUUUCGCACACUCUGUCUACGUGGCCUUGUCUGUGACGCCUUCUACAGACUUUUUCCUUGAACCAACAAUCAUUUGCAUCAUGAGAGGAUUUACCACAUCUAUAGUAUUUCUGCCUUUUUGCACCAUUUAGGGACAUUUUGUGCAUUUCAUUUUCUACAGCCUUCUUUUGUAGCCCAGAUGCAUCCGUGGCUGCUGUUUCCAUUGAAAUGGCAAUGGCCUGAUAUUCUCAGAAAUAUUUUAAUUAUUUUGAUUUAAUUUGAUUGAUUUAGCCUAAGCCCCAGUAUCAGAGUCCUGAUAUUGGAUUCAUAUAGAGAAUUUAAACAGGUGAUUGGCUCAUCCUUUAAAAAUCUCUUCUGGUUUGCAGCAGAAAAUGUUGUGAUUUACAAGCAGGGAAUAUUAAUAAUGCAGUACUUCUAUUAUUAACUGUAAAUAUUAUGUUUACAGGCUGUGAGCUGGUGAAGAAAGGGGUAGAGGACGUGACUGUGUUCACAGGAGAGUCUGUAGUUCUGCCCUGCGUCUGCACUGACCUACAGGACAAACCAAAGUCUGUAAAAUGGCAGUUUAAUAGAAUUGGUCACUUUCAGGAAAUUUACCCUGAACAGACUGGACGUCACAGAAACAGAGUCAAACUGGUCAGUAACAACGCUCCAGGAAACCUCUCUCUACUCAUAUCAGACCUGACUGAAGAGGACCAGGGACGCUACAGAUGUUCUGUACAGGCUGAUAGCAGAGAUUUCAGAUUAUCUGUUAAAGUAGGAAGAAGAGAAACUUCAACACACUCGAGGAAAACAGACACAACACCUCCAUCAGAACCGCCUCAGAGUAAAACAACAAACUCUCCACCUGCAUCAUCCUCAACAACACUGGAACAAGAUAAACAGCAAACACACAGCAGCCUCCCUCUAGGUGCCAAAACUUUUUAUCAGCAAUGAAAAUACACAUCUGUAUUAUUACAUUUAUUCAUUUUGGUGUGUUUUAUUACACAGUUUUUGGCCUUCUGGCAGUUUUACUGUUGGUGAUACCCGGUGUAGUGGCAUUUAUUUGUUGGAGACGCAAAGGAGGAAGAUGUGGAGAGAACGUGAUUACUGAAGGACGUCCGGACUGUAAGAGAAAGCAGAAGGAUCAGAUUGGGUCUGAUGUCACUGUAUUUACUACUGUUAUUUACACUUACUACUCUACUGACCCACAUUAACACAGCCGGAGCAGCAGAUCAUCACUGGACAGAAAACUGAAUAUAGCAGCAUUAUAACAAACUAAUCCAGAGUAAAUAUAGACACAUGCUCAGAUAUUAUAGAAUAAUCCUGAAAACAUAUAUUAAAUACACUCUAUGGCCAGCACGGGAUUCACAGUGUUGACUUUUUGAGAUUUUUAUACAUUUUACAAUUAAAUAUCAGAUUCAGGCAUAAACGUGUUACAUUUACUUAUGUUAGCUAAGUGUGUUGUUCCGCAUUCAUUGUUUAUCAUUAAUUGCUGAUGGAUAAUCUCGCUAAUUAUAUUUUGAGUGUACGUGUCAUUUUAUAUCUUAUGUGUACCAUACUUAUAUCAGGUUAAGAAAUGAAAGCUCUAGAAGGCUGUUGUCAUCAUGCUGUUUUGUGUAAGAAGACUGCUAUAGAAGUUCUUGUUUGUGACUUUUAAUAACUUUGGGUAAAAAUAAAAGAAGGAGGAUUGUUGAAUCUGACUGGACUGAAUGUGUUUCUAAUCUAGCUUUUGUAAAAUUUUCAUAAUAGUCCUUAUAGAUA